Long non-coding RNA from Camelus dromedarius (Arabian camel), 519 nucleotides. RefSeq lists it as uncharacterized. The record is from RefSeq and is a predicted model, not a curated record. Lineage: Eukaryota; Metazoa; Chordata; Mammalia; Artiodactyla; Camelidae. The transcript is spliced from 4 exons.
GCGCGUCCACGGAUAAGCGGAGAGGGUGGGUUAUGUUAAAAGGUCUGGAGGAGAAAGGGGUUUGGGGGUCGCAGAGAGGGGUCCGGGAAGCGCCUGGCAAGCGGCUCUCCAGCUUAAAGGACUUGUCUGAAGUUAUGGAGCUUCUGGAGAGAAAGGCUUAAAAUUUGCAUGCAUACCAUUUCUCUAAAAGGCAUUCCUCUGAGUGAUGCUAUUGAUUGGCUGUCUGAGAAUCUGUUACUGGAGGGUUGGCUUCUUCAUGGCACAUGAUGUCUUCUUCCUAAUACCGUUGGUGACAGCUGUGAUGCAAUUCAGUGCCCAGGAUUUCAAUUGCUGUAUCCAGAUUCUCAAACCAUGUCUUAAUUGCCUGCUAUGCCUGAGUACUCUGCCAAGAUACAGGAGGGCAGCAACAGGCCGGGAGAGGACAUUUUCCCAUGGAUUUGGCUUUAGCUGGUCCAGGCUCAUGAGCUCUUAGGCUUGUUUCUUUUGUGACUGCUUUCCCCAGGAGGCUUCCAUGCAACA